RNAcentral lists this ribosomal RNA (262 nucleotides) under uncultured bacterium. RNAcentral describes it as "partial 16S rRNA". It matches the Rfam family "Bacterial small subunit ribosomal RNA", at positions 505 to 766 of the family's 1533-position model. The record is from RNAcentral.
GUGUCAGCAGCCGCGGUAAUACGUAGGUGGCAAGCGUUGUCCGGAUUUAUUGGGCGUAAAGGAUGUGUAGGCGGAUAUUUAAGUGAGAUGUGAAAUCCCCGGGCUUAACUUGGGGGGUGCAUUGCAAACUGGGUGUCUAGAGUGCAGGAGAGGAAAGCAGAAUUCCUAGUGUAGCGGUGAAAUGCGUAGAGAUUUGGAAGAAUACCAGUGGCGAAGGCGUCUUUCUGGACUGUAACUGACGCUGAGGCAUGAAAGCAUGGGG